GAUGAACGCUGGCGGCGUGCCUAAUACAUGCAAGUCGAGCGAACAGACGAGUAGCUUGCUCCUCUGACGUUAGCGGCGGACGGGUGAGUAACACGUGGAUAACCUACCUAUAAGACUUGGAUAACUUCGGGAAACCGGAGCUAAUACCGGAUAAUAUAUUGAACCGCAUGGUUCAAUAGUGAAAGACGGUUUUGCUGUCACUUAUAGAUGGAUCCGCGCCGCAUUAGCUAGUUGGUAAGGUAACGGCUUACCAAGGCAACGAUGCGUAGCCGACCUGAGAGGGUGAUCGGCCACACUGGAACUGAGACACGGUCCAGACUCCUACGGGAGGCAGCAGUAGGGAAUCUUCCGCAAUGGGCGAAAGCCUGACGGAGCAACGCCGCGUGAGUGAUGAAGGUCUUCGGAUCGUAAAACUCUGUUAUUAGGGAAGAACAAAUGUGUAAGUAACUAUGCACGUCUUGACGGUACCUAAUCAGAAAGCCACGGCUAACUACGUG
This 497-nucleotide ribosomal RNA is filed under the name uncultured bacterium. RNAcentral describes it as "partial 16S ribosomal RNA". It matches the Rfam family "Bacterial small subunit ribosomal RNA", at positions 28 to 507 of the family's 1533-position model. The record is from RNAcentral.